Molecule: microRNA, 23 nt
Filed under: Eisenia fetida (common brandling worm)
Lineage: Eukaryota; Metazoa; Annelida; Clitellata; Crassiclitellata; Lumbricidae
Description: Efe-Mir-96-P1_5p (mature (guide))
Source: RNAcentral
AUUGGCACUGGCGGAAUAGUCAC